This 230-nucleotide ribosomal RNA is filed under the name uncultured bacterium. RNAcentral describes it as "partial 16S ribosomal RNA". It matches the Rfam family "Bacterial small subunit ribosomal RNA", at positions 562 to 791 of the family's 1533-position model. The record is from RNAcentral.
AAAGGGUGCGUAGGCGGUUUAUUAAGUCAGUGGUGAAAGACGGUCGCUCAACGAUUGCAGUGCCAUUGAUACUGGUAGACUUGAGUAUGAUUGAGGUAGCUGGAAUGGAUAGUGUAGCGGUGAAAUGCAUAGAUAUUAUCCAGAACACCAAUUGCGUAGGCAAGUUACUAAGUCAUAACUGACGCUGAUGCACGAAAGUGUGGGUAUCAAACAGGAUUAGAUACCCCGGU